Molecule: ribosomal RNA, 488 nt
Filed under: uncultured bacterium
Lineage: Bacteria
Description: partial 16S ribosomal RNA
Rfam family: Bacterial small subunit ribosomal RNA
Source: RNAcentral
AUUGAACGCUGGCGGCAGGCCUAACACAUGCAAGUCGAGCGGGGUUUUCGGACCUAGCGGCGGACGGGUGAGUAAUGCGUAGGAAGCUACCCGAUAGAGGGGGAUACCAGUUGGAAACGACUGUUAAUACCGCAUAAUGUCUACGGACCAAAGUGUGGGACCUUCGGGCCACAUGCUAUCGGAUGCGCCUACGUGGGAUUAGCUAGUUGGUGAGGUAAUGGCUCACCAAGGCGACGAUCUCUAGCUGGUUUGAGAGGAUGAUCAGCCACACUGGAACUGAGACACGGUCCAGACUCCUACGGGAGGCAGCAGUGGGGAAUAUUGGACAAUGGGCGCAAGCCUGAUCCAGCCAUGCCGCGUGUGUGAAGAAGGCCUUCGGGUUGUAAAGCACUUUCAGCGAGGAGGAAGGGUUGUGUGUUAAUAGUACACAGCUUUGACGUUACUCGCAGAAGAAGCACCGGCUAACUCUGUGCCAGCCGCCGCCGUAA